Molecule: ribosomal RNA, 779 nt
Filed under: uncultured Neocallimastigales
Lineage: Eukaryota; Fungi; Neocallimastigomycota; Neocallimastigomycetes; Neocallimastigales
Description: partial large subunit ribosomal RNA
Rfam family: Eukaryotic large subunit ribosomal RNA
Source: RNAcentral
UCAGACGAUGCGUCAUGCAUAUCAAUAAGCGGAGGAAAAGAAACUAACAAGGAUUCCCUUAGUAACGGCGAGUGAAGCGGGAAGAGCUCAAAUUUGAAAUCUUCAAGGUUUUACCUUGACGAAUUGUAGUUUAAAGAAGUGUUUUUCUGUUGAAGUUUUGGUAAAAGUUCUUUGGAAAUAGGACAUCAUAGAGGGUGAGAAUCCCGUAUUUGACCAUUAUUUUCAGCUGUGUGAUACACUUUCAAAGAGUCGGAUUGUUUGGGAAUGCAGUCCAAAAUGGGUGGUAAAUUUCAUCUAAAGCUAAAUAUUGGCGAGAGGACCGAUAGCGAACAAGUACCGUGAGGGAAAGAUGAAAAGAACUUUGAAAAGAGAGUUAAACAGUACGUGAAAUUGUCAAAAGGGAAGCGUUUGACACCAGUGUUGUUUUCUCGAAAAUCAAUUAAAAAGAGUUGGAUUUAUGUGUUGUAUUGACCUUAACAGCUUGCUUCACUCUUUUCCUGCUUUUUUUAAUGCACUUUUCGUUUAACAAGUCAACAGUCAGUUUCUUUUGUUGUAAAAGGGUCAUUGGAAGGUGGCUUUCUCUUCGGAGAAAGUGUUUAUAGCCUUUGAUCUCUGCAAUCGGAGAGACUGAGGUCUGCAGCGUAGAUCCUUCGGGGUUAGAUACAUUUGUGCUAAGCUACAGCUUUUCAUAGACAACUUGUUGACUAUGUUUAGUCUUGUAACUUACCCGCUUAUGCUAUUUUACCUACGCUUAGGAUGUUGAUAUGCAUGACUGAUAU